CUAUACAUGCAAGUCGAACGCGCAGCGAAAGGUGCUUGCACCUUUCAAGCGAGUGGCGAACGGGUGAGUAACACGUGGAUAACCUGCCUCAAGGCUGGGGAUAACAUUUGGAAACAGAUGCUAAUACCGAAUAAAACUUAGUAUCGCAUGAUACAAAGUUAAAAGGCGCUACGGCGUCACCUAGAGAUGGAUCCGCGGUGCAUUAGUUAGUUGGUGGGGUAAAGGCUUACCAAGACGAUGAUGCAUAGCCGAGUUGAGAGACUGAUCGGCCACAUUGGGACUGAGACACGGCCCAAACUCCUACGGGAGGCUGCAGUAGGGAAUCUUCCACAAUGGGCGCAAGCCUGAUGGAGCAACGCCGCGUGUGUGAUGAAGGCUUUCGGGUCGUAAAGCACUGUUGUAUGGGAAGAAAUGCUAAAAUAGGGAAUGAUUUUAGUUUGACGGUACCAUACCAGAAAGGGACGGCUAAAUACGUGCCAGCAGCCGCGGUAAUACGUAUGUCCCGAGCGUUAUCCGGAUUUAUUGGGCGUAAAGCGAGCGCAGACGGUUGAUUAAGUCUGAUGUGAAAGCCCGGAGCUCAACUCCGGAAUGGCAUUGGAAACUGGUUAACUUGAGUGUUGUAGAGGUAAGUGGAACUCCAUGUGUAGCGGUGGAAUGCGUAGAUAUAUGGAAGAACACCAGUGGCGAAGGCGGCUUACUGGACAACAACUGACGUUGAGGCUCGAAAGUGUGGGUAGCAAACAGGAUUAGAUACCCUGGUAGUCCACACCGUAAACGAUGAAUACUAGGUGUUAGGAGGUUUCCGCCUCUUAGUGCCGAAGCUAACGCAUUAAGUAUUCCGCCUGGGGAGUACGACCGCAAGGUUGAAACUCAAAGGAAUUGACGGGGACCCGCACAAGCGGUGGAGCAUGUGGUUUAAUUCGAAGCAACGCGAAGAACCUUACCAGGUCUUGACAUCCUUUGAAGCUUUUAGAGAUAGAAGUGUUCUCUUCGGAGACAAAGUGACAGGUGGUGCAUGGUCGUCGUCAGCUCGUGUCGUGAGAUGUUGGGUUAAGUCCCGCAACGAGCGCAACCCUUAUUGUUAGUUGCCAGCAUUCAGUUGGGCACUCUAGCGAGACUGCCGGUGACAAACCGGAGGAAGGCGGGGACGACGUCAGAUCAUCAUGCCCCUUAUGACCUGGGCUACACACGUGCUACAAUGGCGUAUACAACGAGUUGCCAACCUGCGAAGGUGAGCUAAUCUCUUAAAGUACGUCUCAGUUCGGACUGCAGUCUGCAACUCGACUGCACGAAGUCGGAAUCGCUAGUAAUCGCGGAUCAGCACGCCGCGGUGAAUACGUUCCCGGGUCUUGUACACACCGCCCGUCACACCAUGGGAGUUUGUAAUGCCCAAAGCCGGUGGCCUAACCUUCGGG
RNAcentral lists this ribosomal RNA (1415 nucleotides) under Leuconostoc holzapfelii. Its description in RNAcentral is "16S ribosomal RNA". It matches the Rfam family "Bacterial small subunit ribosomal RNA". The record is from RNAcentral. Lineage: Bacteria; Bacillati; Bacillota; Bacilli; Lactobacillales; Lactobacillaceae.